Molecule: ribosomal RNA, 155 nt
Filed under: Odontella sp. CCMP146
Lineage: Eukaryota; Bacillariophyta; Thalassiosirophyceae; Eupodiscales; Odontellaceae
Also listed under: 1 other name
Description: partial 5.8S ribosomal RNA
Source: RNAcentral
UAUGGGAUGAAAACCAUCACGCAGUGAGAGAGCUGUGAUAUAGGUAGCUGGAGUGGGACACCUUCCCAACCAGUGCACGUGAACUAUAUACGUGACUAACUCAUUAUACACGGGCCCACCACGGGCAGAGCGGCACGUUGAAUGCAUCCCUAACG